Molecule: ribosomal RNA, 452 nt
Filed under: uncultured bacterium
Lineage: Bacteria
Description: bacterial SSU rRNA
Rfam family: Bacterial small subunit ribosomal RNA
Source: RNAcentral
AAGUUUGAUCAUGGCUCAGAACGAACGCUGGCGGCAUGCCUAACACAUGCAAGUCGAACGAAGCCUUCGGGCUUAGUGGCGCACGGGUGCGUAACACGUGGGAAUCUGCCCUUUGGUUCGGAAUAACAGUUAGAAAUGACUGCUAAUACCGGAUAAUGACGUAAGUCCAAAGAUUUAUCGCCGAAGGAUGAGCCCGCGUAGGAUUAGGUAGUUGGUGGGGUAAUGGCCCACCAAGCCGACGAUCCUUAGCUGGUCUGAGAGGAUGAUCAGCCACACUGGGACUGAGACACGGCCCAGACUCCUACGGGAGGCAGCAGUGGGGAAUAUUGGACAAUGGGCGAAAGCCUGAUCCAGCAAUGCCGCGUGAGUGAUGAAGGCCUUAGGGUUGUAAAGCUCUUUUACCAGGGAUGAUAAUGACAGUACCUGGAGAAUAAGCUCCGGCUAACUCCGUG